AGGCUGCCAUGAUUCAGGCCUGGCAAGGGCCCAGAUAGGAAAAAACAAACAAACUUCAUUCCCUUCACACACGCUCCGUUCUUCUUCCUCCCUCCAGGACCAGAUUAGCCAUGGCGACCCUGCCGCCCAGGUCGGGAGCUUUCUCCAAGGGCUAUAAGUUGGCCUACGCCUGGGACAAGGAGGCGCCGCUCACGGGGCAGCAGAACGCCGCCAUCUCCGCGCUCUCGCACGCCCUCGCCGCCCGGCUGUUCCCGGCUAAUCUGCAAGAUGCAGACAACGACUCUGCUUUCAAGGAGGCCGGUGCAGUGGAUGCGGCCUUGGUGAACACACAUCAGUUCUACAAAUGGUUUGUUCAACUAGAAUCUGCCAUGAAAUCCGAGAUUGACGAAAAGUAUCGCCUCUAUGAGAGUACAUUACAGGAACAUGUUAACACAUGUGAUGGUAUCCUUCGACAAUUUAACAUUGAGUACCUCCUGCUCCAUUAAAUCAGGUGGAUGACACACUCAACUUGUUUGAACAAGUACAAUCCUUGCACUCGAGAGCUGCCAUAAGAAUACAAACUUUGCAUGAUGCUUGCGACCAACUUUUGAUGGACAAACAAAGGCUUGUUGGGUUUGCUGAAGCACUCCGAAGCCAUCCAUCUGAGAUCCAACGUGCCACGUCAAAAUUUUCUAGUUUUGCGCGUUUAGCUCAGUUUCUACUAUAGUCUUCCCCUGCUGAAGCGCGUAGGUCAAACUAUUUUUAUGAAUUGGAAAAUGUAAGAUCUGGCAUGCAUAAAUAUGUGCAUGCGUGUGUGAUGCUUAGAAUUGUUUUUCAAACAUCAAUUAAUCAGUGAUGAUAAGUACUAUA
Molecule: RNA transcript, 849 nt
Organism: Triticum aestivum (bread wheat)
Lineage: Eukaryota; Viridiplantae; Streptophyta; Magnoliopsida; Poales; Poaceae
Gene name: conserved oligomeric Golgi complex subunit 3
Exons: 7
Source: RefSeq, a predicted model, not a curated record